Molecule: ribosomal RNA, 521 nt
Filed under: Alternaria alternata
Lineage: Eukaryota; Fungi; Ascomycota; Dothideomycetes; Pleosporales; Pleosporaceae
Description: eukaryotic LSU rRNA
Rfam family: 5.8S ribosomal RNA (bases 157-310)
Source: RNAcentral
AUGAGGCGGGCUGGACCUCUCGGGGUUACAGCCUUGCUGAAUUAUUCACCCUUGUCUUUUGCGUACUUCUUGUUUCCUUGGUGGGUUCGCCCACCACUAGGACAAACAUAAACCUUUUGUAAUUGCAAUCAGCGUCAGUAACAAAUUAAUAAUUACAACUUUCAACAACGGAUCUCUUGGUUCUGGCAUCGAUGAAGAACGCAGCGAAAUGCGAUAAGUAGUGUGAAUUGCAGAAUUCAGUGAAUCAUCGAAUCUUUGAACGCACAUUGCGCCCUUUGGUAUUCCAAAGGGCAUGCCUGUUCGAGCGUCAUUUGUACCCUCAAGCUUUGCUUGGUGUUGGGCGUCUUGUCUCUAGCUUUGCUGGAGACUCGCCUUAAAGUAAUUGGCAGCCGGCCUACUGGUUUCGGAGCGCAGCACAAGUCGCACUCUCUAUCAGCAAAGGUCUAGCAUCCAUUAAGCCUUUUUUUCAACUUUUGACCUCGGAUCAGGUAGGGAUACCCGCUGAACUUAAGCAUAUCAUA